UCCAGACUCCUACGGGAGGCAGCAGUCGGGAAUAUUGCGCAAUGGAGGAAACUCUGACGCAGUGACGCCGCGUAUAGGAAGAAGGUUUUCGGAUUGUAAACUAUUGUCGUGAGGGAAGAAAUUGACAGUACCUCAGGAGGAAGCUCCGGCUAACUAUGUGCCAGCAGCCGCGGUAAUACGUAGGGAGCAAGCGUUAUCCGGAUUUAUUGGGUUUAAAGGGUGCGUAGGCGGGCUGUUAAGUCAGCGGUCAAAGGUCGGGGCUCAACCCCGGCCUGCCGUUGAAACUGGCGGCCUCGAGUGGGCGAGAAGUAUGCGGAAUGCGUGGUGUAGCGGUGAAAUGCAUAGAUAUCACGCAGAACUCCGAUUGCGAAGGCAGCAUACCGGCGCCCGACUGACGCUGAGGCACGAAAGCGUGGGUAUCGAACAGGAUUAGAUACCCUAGUA
Molecule: ribosomal RNA, 444 nt
Filed under: uncultured bacterium
Lineage: Bacteria
Description: bacterial SSU rRNA
Rfam family: Bacterial small subunit ribosomal RNA
Source: RNAcentral